Molecule: ribosomal RNA, 499 nt
Filed under: uncultured bacterium
Lineage: Bacteria
Description: bacterial SSU rRNA
Rfam family: Bacterial small subunit ribosomal RNA
Source: RNAcentral
GAUUCUGGCUCAGGAUGAACGCUGGCGGCGUGCCUAACACAUGCAAGUCGAACGGACCUUUACAGACUGCGAUUCGUCAAAGGAAGUCAAGGUAGUGGCGGACGGGUGAGUAACGCGUGGGUAACCUGCCUCGUAGAGGGGGAUAACAGUUGGAAACGAUUGCUAAUACCGCAUAAGCCCACAGGACCGCAUGGUCCAGGGGGAAAAGAUUCAUCGCUACGAGAUGGACCCGCGUUUGAUUAGUUAGUUGGCGGUGUAACGGACCACCAAGACGACGAUCAAUAGCCGGACUGAGAGGUUGAACGGCCACAUUGGGACUGAGACACGGCCCAAACUCCUACGGGAGGCAGCAGUGGGGAAUAUUGCACAAUGGGGGAAACCCUGAUGCAGCGACGCCGCGUGGGUGAAGAAGUUUUUCGGAAUGUAAAGCCCUAUCAGCAGGGAAGAAAAUGACGGUACCUGACUAAGAAGCCCCGGCUAACUACGUGCCAGCAGCCGC